RNAcentral lists this ribosomal RNA (573 nucleotides) under Pseudovibrio sp. AU365_Ted1_4C. RNAcentral describes it as "bacterial SSU rRNA". It matches the Rfam family "Bacterial small subunit ribosomal RNA", at positions 55 to 675 of the family's 1533-position model. The record is from RNAcentral. Lineage: Bacteria; Pseudomonadati; Pseudomonadota; Alphaproteobacteria; Hyphomicrobiales; Stappiaceae.
AUGCAGUCGAACGGAUCCUUCGGGAUUAGUGGCAGACGGGUGAGUAACGCGUGGGAAGCUACCUUGUGGUAGGGGACAACAGUUGGAAACGACUGCUAAUACCCUAUGAGCCCUAUGGGGGAAAGAUUUAUCGCCAUGAGAUGUGCCCGCGUUAGAUUAGCUAGUUGGUAAGGUAAUGGCUUACCAAGGCGACGAUCUAUAGCUGGUCUGAGAGGAUGAUCAGCCACACUGGGACUGAGACACGGCCCAGACUCCUACGGGAGGCAGCAGUGGGGAAUAUUGGACAAUGGGGGCAACCCUGAUCCAGCCAUGCCGCGUGUGUGAUGACGGCCUUAGGGUUGUAAAGCACUUUCAGCAGUGAAGAUAAUGACAUUAACUGCAGAAGAAGCCCCGGCUAACUUCGUGCCAGCAGCCGCGGUAAUACGAAGGGGGCUAGCGUUGUUCGGAAUCACUGGGCGUAAAGAGUACGUAGGCGGACUGAUAAGUUAGGGGUGAAAUCCCAAGGCUCAACCUUGGAACUGCCUUUGAUACUGUCAGUCUUGAGAUCGAGAGAGGUGAGUGGAACUCCGAGUG